RNAcentral lists this non-coding RNA (102 nucleotides) under chicken gut metagenome. RNAcentral's name for it is "Moco (molybdenum cofactor) riboswitch". It matches the Rfam family "Molybdenum/Tungsten riboswitch aptamer (Moco RNA motif)", at positions 11 to 122 of the family's 135-position model. The record is from RNAcentral.
ACGGUUCUCCGAGCCUGCUGCGCCUAAGGGUGAAAGCCUACGGACUUCAGGCCGACAGGGUCGCUUUCGGAAACGAGACGGCCUCCCUCUGGAAAGGCGAAC